AGCGCAGACGGUUGAUUAAGUCUGAUGUGAAAGCCCGGAGCUCAACUCCGGAAUGGCAUUGGAAACUGGUUAACUUGAGUGCAGUAGAGGUAAGUGGAACUCCAUGUGUAGCGGUGGAAUGCGUAGAUAUAUGGAAGAACACCAGUGGCGAAGGCGGCUUACUGGACUGUAACUGACGUUGAGGCCCGAAAGUGUGGUAGCAAACA
RNAcentral lists this ribosomal RNA (206 nucleotides) under uncultured bacterium. RNAcentral's name for it is "partial 16S ribosomal RNA". It matches the Rfam family "Bacterial small subunit ribosomal RNA", at positions 568 to 774 of the family's 1533-position model. The record is from RNAcentral.